This 440-nucleotide ribosomal RNA is filed under the name uncultured bacterium. RNAcentral describes it as "partial 16S ribosomal RNA". It matches the Rfam family "Bacterial small subunit ribosomal RNA", at positions 338 to 795 of the family's 1533-position model. The record is from RNAcentral.
CCUACGGGAGGCAGCAGUAGGGAAUAUUGCUCAAUGGGGGAAACCCUGAAGCAGCCACGCCGCGUGUAUGAUGAAGGUUUUCGGGUUGUAAACUCCUUUUGUUGGAGAAGAUAAUGACGGUAUCUAACGAAUCAGCACCGGCUAACUCCGUGCCAGCAACCACGGUAAUACGGCGGGUGCAAGCGGUACUCGGAAUCACUGGGCGUAAAGAGCGCGCAGGCGGGAUAGCAAGUCAGAUGUGAAAUCCUAUGGCUUAACCAUAGAACUGCAUUUGAAACUGUUAUUCUAGAGUAUGGUAGAGGGAGGUGGAAUUCCUGGUGUAGGGGUAAAAUCCGUAGAGAUCAAGAGGAAUACCGAUGGCGAAGGCGACCUGCUAGAACAUAACUGACGCUCAGGUGCGAAAGCGUGGGGAGCAAACAGGAUUAGAUACCCUUGUAGUC